RNAcentral lists this long non-coding RNA (882 nucleotides) under Trifolium pratense (red clover). Its description in RNAcentral is "long non-coding RNA (TPRA_LNC003430)". The record is from RNAcentral. Lineage: Eukaryota; Viridiplantae; Streptophyta; Magnoliopsida; Fabales; Fabaceae.
AAGAUGAUAAACAAUACUAGCAAUACUAGCAAAAACACGUAAAUAAUUAGGAGUGAAGCUUUGCUCCUUUUCCUAAGGCUCCUUUUUUUUCCUUUUCUUUUUAUUGAUUGAAAACAUGUGGCAAAAAUAAAUUGAAUGGCUAAGAUUAAAUUGAUUAAAAAAAAAACAAAAGAAAUAGCGUGUGGUCGUGUGUCUUCUUCUUCUUCUCCCUUUUCUUCCUCCUCCUCUUGUUUCAGAGAUACAACCAUUCACAUCCUCACCUAACCACCUCUUCCUCACGCCGCCGCCCGUCCCCGUCCGUCAUAACGGCGGCGUCCAUCCACUAUUAUUCUCCACACACCAACUCGCCGUCUUGCUAUCUCGCCAAGCCUCACCGUUCCGCCGCCGCAAUCUCUACAAACAUAGCAAUCUAAAUAACAUAACAUUUAAAUACAAGCGACGGCGAGAGGAACAUGGAGACAUUUAAAUUCAAGACUCUCAUUCAUCAUCGAUCUAUUCAUAAAAUAAAUUUUAGUAAUUAACACACCGUCACUGUGAGGAACGGUAGUGGCGGCGGUGGAGCGACGGCGAGAGGAACAUGGAGGAGAGAUGGCGAUGAGGUGAAGAUGAAAAGACUUUCUGUUUUAAUUUGUUUUUAAUUUUUAAAUAUGUAAGUAUAAUCUUUAAAUUCCAGCCGUCAGUGGAUGGACACCGCCGUUAUGACAUCCGGGGAGGGGCGGCGGCAUGAGGAAGAGGUGGUGAGGUGAGGAUGAGAUGAUGGUUGUAUCUCUGAAACAAGAUGAAGAAGAAGACACGCUAUUUCCCUUUAUGUUUUUUUUUUAUCAAAACAAUUACUUAAUUAUAAGUUUUAAUCUCAGCCAUUCAGUUUAUUUUUGCCACAUG